Molecule: transfer RNA, 60 nt
Filed under: marine eukaryotic metagenome
Rfam family: tRNA
About the family: Transfer RNA (tRNA) molecules are approximately 80 nucleotides in length.
Source: RNAcentral
CGUAGCUCAGCGGUAGAGUAGAUGACUGUUAAUCAUUUGGUCACUGGUUCGAAUCCAGUC